Molecule: long non-coding RNA, 4516 nt
Organism: Felis catus (domestic cat)
Lineage: Eukaryota; Metazoa; Chordata; Mammalia; Carnivora; Felidae
Exons: 8
Source: RefSeq, a predicted model, not a curated record
AGGGGCGGGGCCUGAGCGGAGCGCUCCUCUGACUUUGAGUAGGUUGCAGGUUUCCCCUCAGAGUCUUGAGAGUAGUCUCCUUUACUUUUGUGAAACAAGAAUUGUCGAUUGACGCUCACAGAGCGGGCUUUGGAGACACCUAGAGGGAUCUUUCAGCCAGUAAUGCCAUGAUUCUGCCAGGCACAUGGGGGUCGGCGCCAACGAGGCCGUUGAGACCGCUGGCCUUGUUAAGGCACGCCCCCCCCCCCCCCCCCCCCCAUACAACAGCCUAGUUCUGGUCGCUGAAGAGGAAGGUCUUGGAGGCCGUGCUCAAAACUGAGCCCGCAGCAGAGGAGGUUGGCGGUCGUCGGAGCUCGCCAGCAUCGUGGCCCUCAGAACUCCUGUUUACCGCAGAUACUCGGGACCCUGGCUGCCGGGCCUUGGAGAUCUGCAUCCUGCAGACUUAGUCAUGCACCAGGACUCUUGAUGGAGUAAGAAUAUUAGCAAAGGACUUCUCCUGUCUCUUGGGUAGUGAAGGACCUGAUACUGGGCACAGUGGAAUGCUAGCUCACUCGUCUCUUCCCUUGUCAGGAAAGUUGGUGGAAGAAGAGACACUUGGAGAAUCAAGACUCUCCCAUGAGUAGGUUGGGUGCUGAGAAGAACAGUUACCAGAAAAGGAAACACAAAGAAUGGGAAUGGCUUUUCAUCCUGGUUGUGGGAAGAAUAAACACAUUUCAUAGAGCCAAGCUGCAAGGGGAUUGUUCCGAGACUGGAAAUCUAUUCAGGACACGGAUUAAACUCUGUCACUGCUGUUGAUUACAUCUGAUGAACAUGGAUUUCUUGAAUCCCUGAAGCAGAGACAAGUCUUUGCCUACUUAAAGGUAAAAUUAUCUGUUAGCCAAUAGCAACCAACACAGCUUGAAUAUUAGACUGAUUAUAUAAUUCCAUGGCAUAUAGAAGACAAUCUGAAUAGGACAAUUAAAAAUGCUGUAUGUAUAACGUAUUAACAUUCAAAACAACUCAAUGACACAGAUGUACUUCCUCCAUUUACACGUAAAGAAGCUAAGGAUUAGGGAGCUCAAGUUAGUUGCCUAACGGGACGUUGCUAUCUGGAGAAACAAACAGGAUUUGAACUCAAACCAAUCUGACUCCAGAGGACAAGCUCUUUGGUGUCCUGGGAAAAUCUAGUAACUUGAAUCUUCUCAACUCAUCUAACAUUUAAAUUCUAUCAAGGGUAUCUUCAAACCUGUCCAUAAAAGACCCGAAAGUGUCCUAAAUGGAAAAUGCCUCGAUCUUACACGAAUGCAGAUGCAAACAAGCAGAAAACUGCCCCCAUUUAUAGCCUGGUCAGAUUUUUGAAGGCUGGGAAACUACACGUUAGGCUGCGUUUUGGUACCAUGCAGCAGAACCACUGCUUCCUGUGCCAGGCCAACUUCCUGCCGGCGCUGUCAGGCUGAGGGUAUAAAAGGCAGCAGGUGCACCUAGUCACAGACCCCUCUGACGAGGCAGGCCCUUCACCACUCUCGCCUCUCAGGUUGCCCAUCACUUUGGAAGUAUCUUUGUGAGACAACAAAGACACAACGGAAACAGCCGUCCCCCUAAGUCUCUGUGGUCACCCUGCCCAAGCCAAGUGAGUUGGACGGGAGGCCUGGCCUAGGCCAGUACUGCAUAGGAUCAAUGGCAGCAUUCAAGGGAGGGGCUAGUAUGUUGCCAGGAUGCUACUGCCCCCUCGGUGCUAAGCCCCACUUGUCGCCGCCCAUACCACUGCUCAGGAAACAAAUCUGCAUUUCAGAUUCUGCAGCCGCUUUAAGGAAAAACUCACAUGUGUUGGUUGCUGGCUCACACUGCAGUGAUAAGGUCUGCAGACUCUCCUCAUCCAUUUCUAGCUCCAAAUUGGACAGGUACUGCUUGACUUUUCGAGCCAUUUGGGCAUCUUCGUAAAGCUUUUUGGCAUUGAGAAAGGAACUACGACGUACCCGCUUUUUAUGACCACCUGUCUGAGCAACGUCUAGCACUGUUGCAUUUGUACUACCCUGGCUGAGAGACCUGGAAGAUGAAAAGGCAGAUAUGCAGCUCACUCUACCAUGGGGUUCCUUUAUCUAUUUGAAACAUGCCAAGACUUACACAAGUAUUCUGCGUUCAAAAGAUCACAUGCCUCAUUCUGGUAAGUAAACUGUUACAAGGAAAUAUAGACUAAUAUAGAUUAAAUUUUCUUAAGUUAAAAAAGAAUCAUACGUACAUACAUAUAUAUAUGUUUCUAGUCCAACUCGGAAAUUCUGCUUUUCUCAUAUAUAGAGCAUUCAAGGCAGUUCUUUCAUAGAAGCCAGCAAAUACUGAUUAUAUAUAGGAGCUCAUGCAAUACACAGUUAAAAAUCAUUGAGAUUUACGUGAAAUUUACUUCUCCUAAAGAGGAUAUUUUACAUAAAUUUAAAUAAAAUUAGCUACACUGUUCACAAUCGUUUUCUUAUUCCUUGAGUGAAAGAGUUUUUGAAGUAAUAUGGGUCAAUCUGUUAAUAAAAUGAUCAUGCAAAUGUAAACAUAUAUAUAUAUAUAGAAACUAGCACAUGAAUUGUUAAGAAUUAUGUUUAAAAAGUAUCGGUUUAUAGAAUGAAAACAGUAGUUAGUUGAGCUGUAAAAACUGUAGUUUUAACACCUUGGGGCACUUUUUACAUUAUAUAUAUUUACUUAAAUAUCUGUGCAAUAGUAUUUAAAUUGCACAGUUUUUCCUUCUAAUGUUCUUCCUCCCGUAACCCCGCAUUAGGCUUUCUCCAUUUCCAAGUACACAAAUCAUAUUAAAAUAAAAUCUUUUUGAAGACUGAGAAGUAUGCCUGGCCUACAGUUCCCCAGAACAAUCAUCAACCACUUCACAGCUCUCAUGGAUCAUGACCUCAAAAACAAAAGCCCCAACAGAUUAAACGUGAAGUCAGCAAGAGGGUUAAGAGAAAAUGCAAAGCAUCAGAAAAUACAGCAGUGCUUACUGAAGGAAUUAUUUGGCAACAUUACUUUUGGCAACAAUAUUCUCUAGACUGGCCAAAACAGAGAAAAGUUUCAGUCUUCCUGUCGGCAAUGCUGUGGAGAAACAGCUUAAACUUUGAUCCAGUUGUAGCUGUUGACAAGAUGGAUGACUUCACAGUCUUUUCUAGUCCUGUGGUCUCUAUUUUUAAUUUUUUCUAUUAUUAGGUAGCUUUACUAAUUACUAAGUUCUUUCCUUACUCCUCACUAUGGCUCUAUGAGGUGCAUGUUUUCUUUCUCAUUUCACAGGGAGAAAACAGGCUCAAAGUCAUAUAAUUAGGAAGUGACAGUGAUGAUUCAGGACCGUCUGCCUCCAAACCUCCUGCUGGACAUUAUAGCUCUACCAGGAAGACCGGGUGUAUCACUGGACAAGUAAUGGAAAUGUAAGAGUUUCCUAUUUCAUAAUGAUUAUUAGCCUAGGUUUGCUGAGAAAUCCAAUAGUUAAAAAAGAAUGAAAAACUAAAAACAAAAAAAAAUACUGCCACCAACAUUUGAAAUUUAUAUAACUGAAAAAUUUCCCAACUAACCUUAGAAUCACUUUAUUUCAAGAAAUCGUUACACAAGGAUUGGGGUGAUUGUUGGGAUCUGUGCAAUCUUCCCUGGCAGUUUACUUUGCGUAACACUUUGAAGGCAAAUUAAAUAUACUCAGUCACUAAAAACUAACUCUACAUUGAGAUGUAUUACUAAGAAUUUACCCAAAUGAAUACUGUUUUCCUCCUAUCAUCGCUGAAGUUUUGUAAGUAUUCUUCAUGCUCAUGUUUUCGAGCUCUGCAAGGAAGAGCUGGUGUGCUAACUGGACACACUGACUAUUUUUCUCAGAAAUGUUAAUGAAAAUACAGUCUCCUAUAUUUUCUACUCAUUCAUCACUUAUUGGAAACCUGUGUUGUGAGGAGUAAAUGAAUGGCUGGGCACAAAGCAUUUAGGUUAGGGUCUGGCACACAGAAAUCACUAUAGAAGUGUGUUAGCUAUAAUUACCACAUGCAGAUGCUGCGUAAGAAACAGGUCCUUUCCAGCUCCAGAAUUCCUGUAGCUGAAAUCUAAGACUAGAUACCAGUGGGUUACUGAGCUACUUACUACCUGAGAGGGUUUUAGUGGUCAAAAUCAUCCAGCCACAAACACUAUUCCCUUAUCCACUUUAGAAUUCAAGUUGUGCUUUAAAAGCAAUUCCUAUUCUCUGUGUCUGUACACAUGUAUGUACACACACACACACACACACACACACACACACACACACCCUGUAUUUCUUUUACCACUUAUCUUUUCGGUUACUACUAGUCCUGACACUCUCUGACCUGUUUCUACAUACAGCUUGAAUAAGCAGGAAUAUUAUUUAUAGUUUAUUUUAAAGGCCACUGUAUAAUAUGGUUUUGACUUUUACAUCUCUCAAUCAUAAUAUUUCUUUAAGAACUCCAAAUAAGGGAAACAUUUGGACUCCUGAAUAUUAUUCAUCAGAAAUAAUUUUUGCAGGGACACCUGGGUGGCUCAGUCAGUUAAGCGUCCGACUUCAGCUCAGGUCAUUAUCUCA